Molecule: ribosomal RNA, 446 nt
Filed under: uncultured bacterium
Lineage: Bacteria
Description: partial 16S ribosomal RNA
Rfam family: Bacterial small subunit ribosomal RNA
Source: RNAcentral
CCUACGGGAGGCAGCAGUAGGGAAUGUUCGGCAAUGGGGGGAACCCUGACCGAGCAACGCCGCGUGAAGGAAGAAGUUAUUCGGAAUGUAAAGUUCUUUUAACAGGGAAGAAAGAGAAAUUGGACGGUACCUGAAGAAUAAGCCCCGGCUAACAACGUGCCAGCAGCCGCGGUAAUACGUAGGGCGCGAGCGUUAUCCGGAUUUAUUGGGCGUAAGGGGUGCGUAGAUGGCUUAGUAAGUCUUUUGUAAAAAUGCUGGGCUCAACCCAGUAGGGCAAAAGAUACUGCAAAGCUAGAGUAUGACAGAGGCAAGUGGAACUACAUGUGUAGCGGUGAAAUGCAUAGAUAUAAGUAAGAACACCAGUGGCGAAGGCGGCUUGCUGGGUCGAUACUGACAUUGAGGCACGAAAGCGUGGGGAGCAAACAGGAUUAGAUACCCGGGUAGUC